UCUAGGUAUGAUAGUGCACACCUGUAAUCCCUGCUACCAGAAAGACUGAGGCUGGUGGAUCUCUUGAGCCUGGCAGUUCUAAGUUGCAGUAGGUUAAGUCAACAGAUGUCUACACUAAGUUUGACAUUGACAUGGUGAGCCCAUGGGAGGCCACCAGGAUGAUUGAGGAGGAAAGAACCAGCUCAAGGCAGAAAUGGAUCAGGUCAAAGAUUCAGCCACGCUGAUCAGUAGUGGAAACAGGCCCAAGAGUAGCCUCUGUACUUUCAACAUAGGCAAAAUAGGGAGACCCAGUCUUAA
Molecule: signal recognition particle RNA, 297 nt
Filed under: Vombatus ursinus (common wombat)
Lineage: Eukaryota; Metazoa; Chordata; Mammalia; Diprotodontia; Vombatidae
Description: Metazoan signal recognition particle RNA (ENSVURG00010008953.1)
Rfam family: Metazoan signal recognition particle RNA
About the family: The signal recognition particle (SRP) is a universally conserved ribonucleoprotein. It is involved in the co-translational targeting of proteins to membranes. The eukaryotic SRP consists of a 300-nucleotide 7S RNA and six proteins: SRPs 72, 68, 54, 19, 14, and 9.
Source: Rfam by way of RNAcentral